GAGUAACGCGUGGGUAACCUGCCCCAUACCGGGGGAUACCACCUGGAAACAGGUGCUAAUACCGCAUAAGCGCACGGUACUGCAUGGUACAGUGUGAAAAACUCCGGUGGUAUGGGAUGGACCCGCGUCUGAUUAGCCAGUUGGCGGGGUAACGGCCCACCAAAGCGACGAUCAGUAGCCGGCCUGAGAGGGUGAACGGCCACAUUGGGACUGAGACACGGCCCAAACUCCUACGGGAGGCAGCAGUGGGGAAUAUUGCACAAUGGGGGAAACCCUGAUGCAGCGACGCCGCGUGAGUGAAGAAGUAUUUCGGUAUGUAAAGCUCUAUCAGCAGGAACGAGACAAGACGGUACCUGACUAAGAAGCCCCGGCUAACUACGUG
RNAcentral lists this ribosomal RNA (382 nucleotides) under uncultured bacterium. RNAcentral describes it as "bacterial SSU rRNA". It matches the Rfam family "Bacterial small subunit ribosomal RNA", at positions 108 to 507 of the family's 1533-position model. The record is from RNAcentral.